UUGGAGGGCAAGUCUGGUGCCAGCAGCCGCGGUAAUUCCAGCUCCAAUAGCGUAUAUUAAAGUUGUUGCAGUUAAAAAGCUCGUAGUUGAAUUUCGGAGUUUGUCGGUUGGUCGGGCUUCAUUGUCCGCACUGGCCUGAUGGAUUCCUACCUUCUGAAUAACCAGCAUGCUAUUAAGUUAGUGCGUUGGGGAAGCAGAGCUAUUACCUUGAAAAAAUUAGAGUGCUUAAAGCAGGCUUAUGCUUGAAUAGAUUAGCAUGGAAUAAUAAAAUAGGACGGCAUGGUUCUAUUUCGUUGGUUUCUAGGAUCACCGUAAUGAUUAAUAGGGAUAGUUGGGGGCAUUAGUAUUCAAUUGUCUGAGGUGAAAUUCUUGGAUUUAUUGAAGACUAACUUCUGCGAAAGCAUUUGCCGAGGAUGUUUUCAUUAAUCAAGAACGAAAGUUAGGGGAUCGAAGACGAUCAGAUACCGUCGUAGUCUUAACCAUAAACUAUGCCGACUAGGGAUCGGACGAUGUUAAUUUUUUAAUGACUCGUUCGGCGCCUUACGGGAAA
Molecule: ribosomal RNA, 550 nt
Filed under: uncultured Glomeromycotina
Lineage: Eukaryota; Fungi; Glomeromycota
Description: SSU rRNA
Rfam family: Eukaryotic small subunit ribosomal RNA
Source: RNAcentral